RNA transcript from Dromaius novaehollandiae (emu), 9696 nucleotides. It is a transcript of the gene named claudin-8-like, with no coding region annotated. The transcript has 3 exons. The record is from RefSeq and is a predicted model, not a curated record. NCBI's taxonomy places the organism in Eukaryota, Metazoa, Chordata, Aves, Casuariiformes, Dromaiidae.
UGUCUGAACUUCAGACUGGAGCUGCCUUUAAAAGAACCCAACAACUUGCCAUAUGAGGAAUCUACUAGACAAAGCAUUCACUCUAAUGUUUUAUAUUACUUUUAGCAAAAACUGAUUUUGGAAGACUUCCUAGGCCACCUCUUUUGAGGCUCCUCUUUCAGAAGAAGCAUGUCUUGCUGCGCAUUACAAAUCACUGGCCUAAUAUUCGGAGGUGUGGGCAUGGUUGGGACUUUGGCAGCCACAGUUAUGCCACAGUGGAGAGUUUCUGCCUUCAUUGAGGGCAACAUUGUAGUGUUCGAGACCAUUUGGGAAGGACUAUGGAUGGACUGCAUCAGUCAGCUCGGGAUCAGGCUGCAGUGCAAAUUCUAUGACUCCCUCUUGGCUCUUUCCCUGUCCUUGGAGAUGUUCAGAGCCCUCAUGUGCAUUGCCAUGGGACUGUCGAUCACUGCCUUUUUGAUGGGCAUUGCUGGUGUGAAGUACACUCACCGAACCAAGGAGGAUCCCCAGGGCGUCAGCGUCUUCAUGCUGGCAGCUGGAAUCUCUUUUCUCCUGACAGGCAUUCUCGUUCUGAUCCCGGUGUCCUGGACUGGUGGUAGCAUCAUACGUGACUUCUAUGAUCCGAACGUCCCCGUGCCACUGAAGCGAGAACUAGGAGCUGCUCUCUACGUAGGCUGGGUGAGCUCUGCACUUCUUAUCACUGCAGGAACAAUGUAUUGUAGCUUCUGGUGCUUGGCUGAUACAUCCCAAAAAUCCAGCUAUCCAUCACCUUCCCAUCACAGAUGGCACAAACGUGACUUUGCAAGAGGGAAAUCCCUAGGCAUGCAGGCCUACGUGUGAUCUUUCUGCUUAGCAUGUUGAUAUGUACUGACUGACUUUCAUGCCUAAUUAAACUGUGAGUCUGCAAUGGAGGAAUAAUUUUGUUCAUUUGCUAUUUACUAUUAACUGUGUACAUACAUAUCUACUCUCUAACAUGCCUAUAGAAGAUGCUAUUAUACAGAUAUUAUGGCAGAACUCAGUCAGAAGAAAAAUCUCACCAGUUCGUAGGAGUGAAAUGUGGCAUGGGAACAGCAGCAGCUGGGAGUCUCUCAUAGACAGACAACAAACAGAGCAUGGCUGGGCUGGAGGGAAGGUGGCUACUGCGCAAUAGCAGCGUUGCCCCCUCCCCACCUCCCCAUAACCCAUGAUGUGUGAAGGCUGCAGUACCUUUUACUCUAAGCUAAAGUCUUUGUAAGGACAGCUCUAGGACGGUGGUGGGAAGCACGGAGCUGGUGGCAUGGCUGAUGCAAUUGCUGAAUGACAGGAGAAGUCACAAACAAUGCUACCUCCAGUAUUAGUACACCAGUGUUCAUGCUCCUCCAUCAGAGACCUGCACGACUGACUGUGGAUUUCAUAGGUGUUUGUAGGGUUGAUGUAUCCUUCUUAUUCUUUCUGCAGGGCACAGAAUCCAGUUCGUGAUUUAAUCACUUCACCAGACUUUGCCCUAAAUAUAUUAGCUUUUCCAUUGCUUGCUACCUCUUGUCUUUUAUGGCUUCUCCUGUUCUAUAGGUAGCAUCUCCUGAUCUUAAAAUUCAGGACAGGUCAUCCGUCUUUAGCCACUUUAAAGCACUGUGCUAAUGUCAAGUAUAACUAAACAAGCCAGGAAAUGUAAAUGUCUAAUCCCCACAUUCCCCCUGGAGGAUCAAGAGUUCCUCCCCACAUCUUCCAUCACACCCACAAAACCCAAGCCCUAAUGUUGUUCCGGCUGUUUUGUGUUUGCAAGAGUUAUUGUAAAAUGCAGACUGAGAAGCCUGAUGCCUCUCUGUCCGUUGUGUGGAAUUCAACAGUAUUUGCAGCUGUGCAUUUCUUUUACAUCUGAAAUUGUGGAGCCUGCUUCUGAAAGUAUGCAUGUCACAAUGUUAAUAAGCGAAGAACCAAAGGAGGCCAACUUCAAAACAAAUUUUCUGUCCACUGGUUUGUCACACAGCAGUAAUGGAUUGUACCAUUCAUUGAUAAUUUUAUGGCACAGGUACUCAGUUUGAUCCUUUUCUGUGUCUGUGACUGGUAUCUGAAAACCUAGUUUAAUGACUUUUCGAGUUGUGCAGAGCAAUGCCUCUAUAUAUUCAUUUGACUGUUCAAUUUGAAGAGGAACAUGAAAAGCUGCAUUUAAUUAAAAAAGUCUUUUAUUAACUUGACUUCAGAUGAACCUAAAUGAAAUAGUGCUGUCGAACGCGGAUAUUCAUUACAUAUAUUAGCUAAUGUGCAUUUACAUUUAAGGCAACUAGCUCAGAUCUUUUAAUGGGAAUUCUCUAGUCACCAGAAAACAAGUUUAAUGUAUCCUAAUCACUACUUGAAGAGUCAAAUCAGCAGCUGGUUCGUGUAACGAGACCUACCGCGUGUGUGCACUGACACAGAUAUUCUUUAUCAAAGUGAUGCUUCUCUUCAAAAUACCUCCUGCAUGCGGGACCUGUAGACCUGAACAGAUCUUGCUGUUUCGUAGGUAAAGCUCUAAGGUCCUGGUUUUUCAAGACCCAGCCUGCUGCCUAUUGCCACAUCCAGAAGUGCUGCCCAACCUGGCUGCAAGUGCACACUGCCCCAAGGAGCUCUUCUUAAAAUGACCUGACCGGCUUCAACAGGUGAGCAAAAGGAGACUCUGGAAAAGCCAGUGCUGGUGCUAAUCUCCUCCUUGCAGCCCUGAGACAGAAGAUGCAUUACAAUAUAAUGGCCUUUCCAAGGAUCUAGGGGAAUAAUUUUUUCCUUCUCUUGCCUGAAUGUAUUCACAAGCUGUGGGACCAGAUAUGUGCUUUCUGAAGGGGCUGACUGACAACACUGACUUGUUCUUCUGUGGGCCCCAGACUAAAUGUGAUCAAAAUGCCAGUUUAUGCUGGAGAUGUGAUGCUGAUGACAUUGUGCUGAACCUCAUUACACAGGAACAUGCAAUGGCUCUCAGGUGAGCUGGAGGUGGGGGAGAAGGAGUGUCGAUUUGCUGGGGGAUGCGCAUGAUAUGAGGAAGUGUUGGUUUGGAGUAGGUACCAAAAAAGUCUCCCAAAUGUCCCUGGGCAGAGCAGCAGCAGCUUCCUCUCCUGGUGGCUGGGCUCACUGUGCCCGUUAUGCAGCUGGAGCGCCGCCCAAAAAGCUCUUUGGCAUCACACAGCUGGGAAACACUCCACUGCCAACAGGUAAUUACACACUAACCUUUCUUUGAGUGGUGCCAGCACCAAAUUAUCUUUCAAGAGAGAUCGAGCGUUCCCAUGUAAUGCAGCGUUCACAAGCCCAUGACUCAGCUGGUACUGGCAUGUUAUUUCAGACUGGUGCCAUUUCACAGGGAGUCCCAAAACACCCCUAAACCCUUCCCGAAUGAAACAAAGGUUUCAAAGUGGAGAUAAUAUCUUUUAUUGAACCAUUUAGUUUAGGGAUGCAAGAAUUUGGAGAUAACGCUUCAACUGUUCAGUAUACUCUUGCAUGAGGAAUGAUGGUCCAGUUCAAACAGUGUUGAAGCCAAUCGAAAGGUUCAUGUAUGACCAAUAGAGUUUGGAUAAGAUUUUUUAAGCAUCUGACAUUUUAAUAUCAGCUAUAUUUAUUCAGGCUCAGCUGUCAGUGGUCUUGGAGAUGUUUGUUCAGUUGCUCAGGCUCAUAGAGGGAGAAUACCCUGCAAUUGCUGAAACACCCUGCCUGCUGAAAUCUGCUUUUUGGUAUUCUUUCUCCUUCAGCAUUUCUGGAAUGUCUCCUCAACUCCUCGUGCAUGCACAUGUGCACACACACAGUGUAGCACAUACACAGUGGCAGAGACUUGAUGGCCAUGUUCACUGUUAUUUCCCAUGUAUUCACAUGUUAUUUCCUAUAAUUUACAAUGUGUUUCUAAACUACACAAUCUAUUUUAUCAUUGGUAGAGUGGAAUGCUUCUAAACAUCACGUUUUUUUGAAGACUGGGAGAACAUAAUCAAGUACACUUUUUACUGAUUGUGUGCUUACUUCCCUAAUUAAUACCAGAAAGUCACCACUGUUUUGCCUUUCCUUUAAGACAUAGCUUGGGAUUUUCUUUUAAGGAUGUUGUCCUGUCAGCAGGGAAGUUAAUGAAUUCAGGUUCCUCCAGGCUGCUGUACUAUUGCCCUGCCAGUAGCUACCCCCUUAGUGCAAGAUGCCAGACAUGUUUGCUGUGGCGGCCCCACUGGGUAAGAGACAUGGACCUCCAUGGAGAUCUGCUGCCCACACCACCGGGCCACUGAGUCUCCCUGCCUCUCUCUCUGUGGCAGCAUUAUUUUGAUCUUGACUCCCUCUGACCAUUUUUCCUGAAAUUUGUAUUAACUUACUUAUCCUUGAGGCUUUGACUCCUCUUUCAAAUUUGACGGAAGUUGGCUGGCAGGUACCGGAGUUACUGCAGAUGGCUGGACAGACAGAUGGAUAGAAUAAUUGCAUAAAACUAGUUUUUGUGAAGAGUAAAGCUGAAAAUGUGUUUUAAAUGAGGUUUGACCCUGCUAUAUUUUCUUAUUUUAUUUUUGUGGUAGAAUUACUGUUGAUUCUAGCACUGCUGUGGGAAUUGCCCUAAUCAGUUAACUUUAACUGCCAAACCAGCCGGCGACAAAAAAUAAUCUGCACAGGAUCUGGAUUAGUAAUGGGUAUUGAUGUGUUUUUUUCUCUUUCCAAGUGAUUUAACAAGAAUAGAUUCUUUUCUAAUGCCAAAGUAUUGCAGAAGAAUAGAUUCUUUUCUAAUGCCAAAGUAUUGUAGAAAUCUUUCCAACAACAUGAUCUAAAACUCUCAUAUCUGGUCUUUUUAAUCUUCCCAUCACAUUUUAAAUAACAUUUCUCUGUAUUCAUUAUUGAAAUUUCAAUUGCAUUGUGUGCCUAUGACUGCAUGCAGUUGGCUGUGUAAAAAGAUAUUAGUUGACAUCAGCAGAAUAAAAUAAUGGUGUCUACAUGCUGGAAUAAUGUAACGUUUUUACUCUGCAGCCUGUUUCAUUAGCAGAGCAGUGCUGCUCCAGGAAAUCAAUGCAAUAACACUUUAGAAAUGCUUGCUAAUAUUGCAUUCUAAGAGAAGGAAAUACAGAAAUAGAAAUGACCAGGUUUUGUUUUAUUGGACUUGAUCUUUUUAGGUGAAAUCUCAUUGGCUUUAUGGCUUUCAUAAAGGCAUGAUUUAUGUAAGACUUCAGGGCCUAGUGGUACCAUUAUAGAAGGAAUGGUGAGAAAUAAAGCUUUUUUAAAAUACGUAAGAAAUUUCACAAAGCUUUGCUAAAGUAGAAUGCUCAAAUUAUUAGAUGGAUUAAUAAUUAAAAUUGCAAUUGGGAUUUAAAAAGUUCAAUAAUGUGAUUUUAGAACCGCUAAAAUACUGUUUUUGCACUUCUCUAGAAUGUUUACUUUUUUUUUCCAAUUCAGUACAAAAUGAUUAAUUGACAUUUAAUUAAGUGGAGUAAGCUAAGAUGACCUGGGGGAAGUGUAGAAAAGCCAAUUGCUUCUAACAUUCAUGACAUUGUCCAUAACAUCUAACUAUGAAAGGUUCUUAACUUUUGCAACAGAAAAUAAUUAAAUUUUACUAGGACAGAGUUAUUUUAUUUUUCAAAUUAAUUGCAGGAUGUGUGAGCAUGCGUGUACUUGAAUGAAUUCAAAUUGCUAUUUAUCUUUUCAAAAGCACUUUUAGCUGUGGCAAUAAUGCAAUUACUAGCCACCGGAAGUGUAUUUAUUGAUGUCUAAAUCAAUAAAUCUUAAUAAUGACUGAAAACUAGUCAACUUUCAUCAUUAUAAGAUACUGGAGUUCUUGUUAAAAAAGAUGAAUAUCCUUCCCCUUUUUAGCUAAAAAACUGCACCCAUCUUUUAUUUAUAAGUUUAUUCUUUUUUUUUUAUUUACUAUUAGCACUAUGGCUUAAUACAUCUUUUCUCUCCAUUGUCAAAUGAAAAAUCUUAGGCUCCUCAAAUUCCCAGUGCAACUGUUCAUUCAGGGAAACCAAAUGUUCUUGGAUUACUCCACACUUUUGUGACAAACUGGGUGAUCAGAUUAAUUUCAGAGAACAAUUUAUUUCUGCAACCCAUCUUCUAACAGAAGUAUUAGAGGAUGCCUUUGACUUUACUGAAAUCCAUACAUAAUAAAAGCACACUUUGAAGGCAAGGUUAUCUGAUACAGGUAGAAGCAAUAAUUAUGAGUGGAUAAGGACAGAGCAGGGCAAAAACCUAUUUUAAAAGGAUAAUGACUGAGCAGAGGGAAGCUGGAAGGCUUAGAGAGUGCAGAAAAACAGCACUGGUGGCAUUUGCAACACUGUAAUAAGAAUUACAGUACUACACUUGAAAUGUCAGUGCAUACAUAGUGUUUCCUAGCAAAUAAUAGCCAGACAACUUCAAAAAUGCUGCAAGCACAGACAUGAGAGGAGUCUGUGCUGGGAAACAUGAUCAUCUGGACCAUAAUGCUAAGUACAAGGCGAAACUACAAGAAAUUAGUGCUUACUCAUUGCUUUGUAUCUUUAAAUCACUGUCCCAAUAUUAGUUAAGUAAUUUCUGUGUUUUCUGUAACACGGGGAAGGUUUAUGAUCCCAGUUCUACAAAUGCAGGAAGUUAUUAAGGCCCCAGUUAAGCAACGCACACAAGCUCCUGCUUGCCUCUGGUAACUUCUCGUGAGCCUGACUAUGCUGACGCCACAGUGAUUUCCCAAGUUUCCACAGCAGGGAAGCAGAGCGGUGUUAGCACUUGCAGGGCCAGCUGCCUUUCAUGCACACUGGCAGCUCCGUCAGCCCAGCAAAGCCCAAACAUUUUGUACCACGCGCAGGACUAGGCUAAGGAAUAUAUAGUUGUCAACUGUAAGGUCAGACUACAAGGCUACGCUUCUAAUGGGUAACUAGGAAAAAUAAACAAUAUCAAAAAUUAGAAGAGUGUAAGAAGAGAGAAACUAUUUUGAACAUGGAAAUAAACUAAUAGGAUCUAAAAGGUCCUUUUUAACCUCCUUAAAAGAUCUUCAUCAACAUUUUUUAUUUUGCAUCUUGACCAGCUGCCAAUCUGAUUUGGAGCUACAUGUGAGUACCUGUGAUGGUAUGCUAGGACUACCUAUGCUCAUCACUAGCUUCUUGUCAGGGAUUUUAUCAAAUGCUUUUCAAAGGAACAAAUAAAUCAUGAGAGGCUGCCCUUCAUUUACUCCUGUGUUAGUUCAACUCAUUCUAAUUAACUGGGAAGAGGGGGCGUACAGUCACACCAUGACACAGGUUUGUCUCUAGCAGACGACAUCACAUACAGUGAUGAGGCAACAAUUUCAGCAUGUAGAUGGAGAGAUAAAUAAGUAUUUCAUGUCUCUCACCUUAAUUACCUAUUCAUCAAAUCUAACUGAAUAUGCACAAAUGCUACCUGGCUUGCAGUACCCUGGAUGAAGGACCACUGACUAAUCUCCAGUCUUCAGGCAUAGCAGAUCUUUUUAGUGACAGAUUAAAUAUUUCUGUUAGUAUUCCUGCUGUUUCAUUCUAAAUUUGCUGCACAGCACUUAGAUGAAACUUCUGGUCCCAGUGACUCGUGGCAGUUUAAAUUAUCGCUUCUGCUUCAGCGUCUUUUCCAACAGCUCUCUGUCUCUGACAAUGCCUUAUCUAUACUGCCUGCAAACAGCAGCUCCAAGGCAGGUAUCUCCCCUAACUGUUCUGCAGCCACAAUAGAUUCAAUAAGUCAUUUACCUUUUGCAGUGCUUUGAUUCUCCUUGAAUUGGGCUGUUUAUUUGCUGGUAGUGGGCAGACUUUUUUACAGAUUUCUGAUCUUCAAGAUGGAUAAAGAGCUCAGCAUUGUAGGCUUAGUAGCCUUCUUUGUAUCCAUCUUAUCUUUCAUAUCUGCUUUGGUGCCGUGUCUUAAAUGGACAGCACACACAAUAUCUAUUUAGUCUCUGUUACUCUGAAGCCCUUCAACAGGCAGAAAUACAAUCUAUUCCUCCUGUAGUAUUAUACUAUGUAAUGAAACUUAAAUGACAAUAAUAUUCUUUCAGAAUAUUCAGAGCUUGCUUUGUAUAUUUGAUAGGAUUCUUUCUAUUGCUGUAAUUAAUUCUCUGCAUCUGGCCAAAGAUUGCAUUUGUUAUUUUCCUGAGUGGAAAAGGUCUAUUAACAUGUAAAUUAGCAGUUCUUCAUUUUUUGGAGGAGAACUUUUCAACAUGUUAAUGAUAAUUUCAAAAUAGUGGUCCCUUUCACAUUUAAAAAGUGUAAGUUUUGCUUAUGUUUCAAUAGAGGAGGCCAACUUAAAAAUCAGGUUUAGUAAGAGCAUGGAAGAUUAAUAUUGGACAGCCUGGUUCACCAUCAGUGGCUGUGGAGAGUUAUCAGCAGAGGUAGGCAUAAAUGCAGGAAGAGUGUCGGAAAUGAAUGAAUAUAGGGAAUGAAAACUUGAACUCUGUAUAAAAAGAGUAAUGUGUGUCUCAGUGAGCAGUCAGAAUGAUUGAAGAAGACAGAGUCACCUGCGCUGGCUAUCUAAUGUGUGGAAGUUGCUGCUGUGUGAUUUGCAAAUUGGAUUUGCAUGUGCAGUUGUAUCUGUAGUGGGGUUCUUGGGCCUCACUAGACCACUGAUGAGAGGUAUACGGCCUUCAGACACAAAGAGAAAAAAAUAGGCUCCAUCCACGUUAGACACCUUCAGGGUGUUUGUUAUUACUAGGGCCAUAAGUCAGUGUAGCUUUACGGAAGUUAGUGGAGUUGAGCAUAUACUAGUCAAACCCCUGGGUCUUGGAGGGAACAUUUUCAUGAGCUGUGAAAAGGAUGCUUUAUAGAGGAAAAGACAUCCUUUCCUUUGGCAACUCUCAAAGUAAUGGAAACUUUCAAGUUUACUAUGUAAGAAAGAAGCUGAAAAUUCAAACAGACAGCAUUGCUUAGCCUGGAAGACUAUUCCCUGGAAAGCUUUACGAUUUCUAAAAGAACCUAUUUGACCCUGCUGCAGUAUGAUUUCUAACACCCUGCAAAGUCCUCACCAGUGGGGUGUGGUUUGCACUGGUAUUACCUCCUCCAGUUACAAACUGGGACAAAAUGUGGAAGCACUGGACUGGCAGAAACCACAUCAGUGAGGUACAAGGCUGGGCACGGCAUGCCUCUGCUGCAGCUCGGGAGAGGACCAAGGGCGAGGGCCCUAAGGUGGCUCCUGAAUGAGGGGGGAGCCUGAUGAGGCUGGUUGCAGCUCACUUUUGCCAGGUCUUUCACCGCAGCCUGACCACGGGCCCGUAGCAGAGGUGCCACCUGCCCCAGCUCAGGGCCUUACUUCCAGCAGCAGCUGUCAGGGAGGCCGGCUGGGAGACAACCUGCUAGCCAGCUCCGUUGUCACCUACUUGGCAGGGGGAGGCAGAGGUUGAGAGAAAUUUCAGUUAAGAUAAAAUCUGCAAAUGUAAUUACCCUUCUGUGUUUCACCUCAAUUUAACACACACUUGGUCAGGUAAGCCUGUUGCUUAAAUUCUAGUAAAUUCAAAGGAUAGAUCCUUUUGCAUGUAAAACACUGUUCUCCAAACAAUUUUUUCAUGUUUUAAAAUCUCACCAAACUCAACCUAUAACUUCAGGAUCUUGGCAAGAAAGAAUAAUUUGGCCCUUUAGGAAAUUUAUAACUUAGUAAGCCUGAUCUAGGCCACAUACACAUCCAGCUUUGUCCAUUCUUCAUCAUUCAGCUUGGUGAUUGGGACAGGCUUACAUAAAUACUGCAGUUGUUGCACAAGCUAUCAUGUGAAGACACAGAUUUCUUCCAUUCACGGAUUAAUAAGCAUUUUUGUUGAGUGCUUCAGUAUGACUAAAUUUGUACUUCUGUCUG